RNAcentral lists this ribosomal RNA (491 nucleotides) under uncultured bacterium. RNAcentral describes it as "partial 16S ribosomal RNA". It matches the Rfam family "Bacterial small subunit ribosomal RNA", at positions 29 to 507 of the family's 1533-position model. The record is from RNAcentral.
GUGAACGCCGGCGGUAGGCCUAACACAUGCCAGUCGAACGGCAGCACAGUAAGAGCUUGCUCUUACGGGUGGCGAGUGGCGGACGGGUGAGGAAUACAUCGGAAUCUACUUUUUCGUGGGGGAUAACGUAGGGUAACUUACGCUAAUACCGCAUACGACCUACGGGUGAAAGCAGGUGAUCUUCGGACCUUGCGCGAUUGAAUGAGCCGAUGUCGGAUUAGCUAGUUGGCGGGGUAAAGGCCCACCAAGGCGACGAUCCGUAGCUGGUCUGAGAGGAUGAUCAGCCACACUGGAGCUGAGACACGGUCCAGACUCCUACGGGAGGCAGCAGUGGGGAAUAUUGGACAAUGGGCGCAAGCCUGAUCCAGCCAUACCGCGUGGGUGAAGAAGGCCUUCGGGUUGUAAAGCCCUUUUGUUGGGAAAGAAAAGCAGCAGGUUAAUACCCCGCUGUUCUGACGGUACCCAAAGAAUAAGCACCGGCUAACUUCGUG